RNAcentral lists this transfer RNA (72 nucleotides) under Ictidomys tridecemlineatus (thirteen-lined ground squirrel). Its description in RNAcentral is "Spermophilus tridecemlineatus (thirteen-lined ground squirrel) tRNA". It matches the Rfam family "tRNA". From Rfam's summary of the family: Transfer RNA (tRNA) molecules are approximately 80 nucleotides in length. The record is from Rfam by way of RNAcentral. Lineage: Eukaryota; Metazoa; Chordata; Mammalia; Rodentia; Sciuridae.
GGGGAUGCAGUUUAAGUGGUAGAGUGCUUGCCUAAUAUGCAUGCCACCUGGGUUCAAUUCCUAGUAACACCA